Ictalurus punctatus (channel catfish) is the source of this 1046-nucleotide long non-coding RNA. NCBI's taxonomy places the organism in Eukaryota, Metazoa, Chordata, Actinopteri, Siluriformes, Ictaluridae. The record is from Ensembl.
UCCUUUUUUUCUCCUUUUUAUUAUUUCAUAUCUUUCAUCCUGUGCAGCUUAAUUCAGGAAUGAAACACGUGAGUCAGCAAAAAAGAUCAGGUUUUGCUCAUCAUGCCACACUUUCCACGCGCUCACUGGCGCUGUUGGGCAGUUUGGUUCGUUUCGCAUAAAUUCGCUUGUUUUUAAAGCGAAACCCCAAGAAGUAAAAAAGGGAAGACCAUAAGAAACAAAGGGGAUACCCCAAGAAGUAAAAAAGGGAAACCCUUAAGAAUAAAAAAAAGGGAAACCCCAAGAAGUAUAAAAGGGAAACCCCAAGAAGUAAAAAGGGAUACCCUUAAGAAGUAAAAAAAAAGGGAUACCCCAAGAAAAGUAAAAAAGGGAAACUUAUAAGAAGUAAAAAAGGGAAGACCAUAAGAAACAAAAAGGGGAAACCCCAAGAAGUAAAAAGGUAUACCCUUAAGAAGUAAAAAGGAAAGACCAUAAGAAACAAAACGGUAGUAUGAAGUAAAAAGGGAAACUGUUAAGAAGCAUAAAUGAAAACCCUUAAGUAAUGAAACCCUUUGAAAACAUUUCAAAACAUUUCAAGACCUCCCCUCAGGAUUCCAUCACGGCAGAAAUCUGCAUGAGGUCGGUGCAUUGUUACAGGCUUGACGUUAUCGACGUUCUCUCUAAACAACGUUGGCCCUCCAUGUCCUUCCAGCAAACCCCAUACAAAGCGUAUACGGGACGCGGGUCCGGAGCGGAAGUGCCGUCCUUCACGUCUAAUCACCACACUACUUCAUCUCCUGCAGGGUCUCGGCGUCGCGGUUUGAAUCCCUGAGUGGAGCGCACAGAGUAGCUGAUGAGAAGUGGAAAGGCGCGGUUCUCCAGUGUGUAGGAGGUGCGACUGGAAGGUUCGGAGAAGGUUCGUAAUCUCCAGAAGCUGUUGAUUAGGUCGAGGGGAGAGAAAAAAACGGUUAGCGGUGAAUAAUAGCAGUGUGUAGAGCUGCGCGCUGACCUCCAGUAAAGCUCCGCCAUGUUCACAGACGGGCUUUAACUUGGCGUUCCGAUGUCAC